Molecule: ribosomal RNA, 1754 nt
Filed under: Staphylococcus aureus
Lineage: Bacteria; Bacillati; Bacillota; Bacilli; Caryophanales; Staphylococcaceae
Description: partial 23S ribosomal RNA
Rfam family: Bacterial large subunit ribosomal RNA
Source: RNAcentral
GAAAUAGAACCUGAAACCGUGUGCUUACAAGUAGUCAGAGCCCGUUAAUGGGUGAUGGCGUGCCUUUUGUAGAAUGAACCGGCGAGUUACGAUUUGAUGCAAGGUUAAGCAGUAAAUGUGGAGCCGUAGCGAAAGCGAGUCUGAAUAGGGCGUUUAGUAUUUGGUCGUAGACCCGAAACCAGGUGAUCUACCCUUGGUCAGGUUGAAGUUCAGGUAACACUGAAUGGAGGACCGAACCGACUUACGUUGAAAAGUGAGCGGAUGAACUGAGGGUAGCGGAGAAAUUCCAAUCGAACCUGGAGAUAGCUGGUUCUCUCCGAAAUAGCUUUAGGGCUAGCCUCAAGUGAUGAUUAUUGGAGGUAGAGCACUGUUUGGACGAGGGGCCCCUCUCGGGUUACCGAAUUCAGACAAACUCCGAAUGCCAAUUAAUUUAACUUGGGAGUCAGAACAUGGGUGAUAAGGUCCGUGUUCGAAAGGGAAACAGCCCAGACCACCAGCUAAGGUCCCAAAAUAUAUGUUAAGUGGAAAAGGAUGUGGCGUUGCCCAGACAACUAGGAUGUUGGCUUAGAAGCAGCCAUCAUUUAAAGAGUGCGUAAUAGCUCACUAGUCGAGUGACACUGCGCCGAAAAUGUACCGGGGCUAAACAUAUUACCGAAGCUGUGGAUUGUCCUUUGGACAAUGGUAGGAGAGCGUUCUAAGGGCGUUGAAGCAUGAUCGUAAGGACAUGUGGAGCGCUUAGAAGUGAGAAUGCCGGUGUGAGUAGCGAAAGACGGGUGAGAAUCCCGUCCACCGAUUGACUAAGGUUUCCAGAGGAAGGCUCGUCCGCUCUGGGUUAGUCGGGUCCUAAGCUGAGGCCGACAGGCGUAGGCGAUGGAUAACAGGUUGAUAUUCCUGUACCACCUAUAAUCGUUUUAAUCGAUGGGGGGACGCAGUAGGAUAGGCGAAGCGUGCGAUUGGAUUGCACGUCUAAGCAGUAAGGCUGAGUAUUAGGCAAAUCCGGUACUCAUUAAGGCUGAGCUGUGAUGGGGAGAAGACAUUGUGUCUUCGAGUCGUUGAUUUCACACUGCCGAGAAAAGCCUCUAGAUAGAAAAUAGGUGCCCGUACCGCAAACCGACACAGGUAGUCAAGAUGAGAAUUCUAAGGUGAGCGAGCGAACUCUCGUUAAGGAACUCGGCAAAAUGACCCCGUAACUUCGGGAGAAGGGGUGCUCUUUAGGGUUAACGCCCAGAAGAGCCGCAGUGAAUAGGCCCAAGCGACUGUUUAUCAAAAACACAGGUCUCUGCUAAACCGUAAGGUGAUGUAUAGGGGCUGACGCCUGCCCGGUGCUGGAAGGUUAAGAGGAGUGGUUAGCUUCUGCGAAGCUACGAAUCGAAGCCCCAGUAAACGGCGGCCGUAACUAUAACGGUCCUAAGGUAGCGAAAUUCCUUGUCGGGUAAGUUCCGACCCGCACGAAAGGCGUAACGAUUUGGGCACUGUCUCAACGAGAGACUCGGUGAAAUCAUAGUACCUGUGAAGAUGCAGGUUACCCGCGACAGGACGGAAAGACCCCGUGGAGCUUUACUGUAGCCUGAUAUUGAAAUUCGGCACAGCUUGUACAGGAUAGGUAGGAGCCUUUGAAACGUGAGCGCUAGCUUACGUGGAGGCGCUGGUGGGAUACUACCCUAGCUGUGUUGGCUUUCUAACCCGCACCACUUAUCGUGGUGGGAGACAGUGUCAGGCGGGCAGUUUGACUGGGGCGGUCGCCUCCUAAAAGG